This is a non-coding RNA of Vicia faba (fava bean), 327 nucleotides long. The record is from the annotation of a GenBank genome assembly. NCBI's taxonomy places the organism in Eukaryota, Viridiplantae, Streptophyta, Magnoliopsida, Fabales, Fabaceae.
AUGUCCAGAUAUGGGAGACGUCGCCACUUAGCCAUUGGUUUGAACAAUUCCCAUGUCCAAAUAUGGGAUGUCUCCCUUGCUAAAAAGCUAAGGAUAUUAAAGGGGGGACAUACAAGAGGAGUUGGUUCCUUGGCUUGGAACAGUCAUAUUCUGACAACAGGGGCAAUUGAUGGGAGUGGUGGAAACGAUAAUGUUGUCUACAUAUGGGAUAGGUCGGUGGCUUCUUCAAAUUCACCUAUUCGCUGCCUUCCCCACCAACAGACAAAGCAGCAUCAAAUCCACCGUUUGCAAAUUUCAACCUUAUCCAAUAAAGAAAUACACUUCUAA